AUGUUUAUGUUUUGGUCUGAUGCUUUUGUGCAAAGCCACUUUAAGCGAGGAUGUAAACAGAUGCACAUCAGUCACUUCUUUAAGAGCUGCUGGCUGUUGAUAAAAGCUGCUGUUUCUGGUGUCUUUUUGUAUCUCAGCAGAUCACUCAGCCACAAAAGCCCUCUGUGUUCAUAUACGAUAAAGCCCCCGCUAUUCUACCCCCGGCCCCAUCGUAGGCUUUGUGUCAUUAUUCCUGAUGUCUAUCAGAUGUCUAAACCAUGUGUAUCAAUCUCAGGUCCAUGGGCCAAAUCCAAGUUCUGUCUCUUCAACUGCUUGCUUACAUCUCUCGCUACGAAGGUGGAGAAGGUUUCUGUCAGUGUGAAAUGAAGACUGAUGGAUAUCAGAGGAGGAGUGGCUGAGCUUUGAUUGGGUGGUGGUGGAGCUGAGCUGUCAGGGAGUGUCAUGGGCCUGUACUAAUGUCCUGGGGGUCAGACACGUAUCACCAUUGCCCCUGAGAGGGGACGUUAUGGGGUUUUGAAAAGACUCUAAAUGGGCUAUGAAUGUUUCAAAUGAGAUGAAUGAGUGCAAGUAGAAUAACAACAGAAACUGUGAAAAUCUCCAGGGGGGUUGGUUUCACGGUUCACUUAGGCGGGGGGCAAAGUCCGUCUUGCCUGGGGCCCCGAAUGCCGUGAAAUUUGCUACAUCGAACUUUGCUGAUUACAAAAGUUGAAUAGUUAGAUUUUUCUGCACUUCCUUCAUGCGUAUAUUUUCUUCUAUGUGCUUCAUCUGCUUCCUGCAGUUGCACGAGGUGCAAUCCCACCAUGAGCCUGAUGUUCAGCCACAGGCUAGUCAGCUGUUAGUCCCUCCUUUUUUGUCCUGCCUUCCUGUCCUACUUUCCAACAAGUACGGAGGAAACUGGGACCUGGGGAUAAACACCCCCACAUCGGCUUAGUGCCUGGAGAUGAUCACUUGCCUUGUGGAAGCUGCAGAUGUUUUGCUGUGCUUCCGUCUGUUGUGAUGAUGGUCAGAACCCAGCUGGAAAGGAGCCAAGUGGGUUUACCCGAGCCCACAACAGAUGUACUGCUGAACAACAACAAAUAUGCCCAAUAAGCAAAGUAUUCAAAAUGGUGCAGCUGUAAACACGCAGGACGUGUCCUAGGAGGAUCAUCACCUUUUUGAUUAAAUGAGUCAGCUGAAAUGUGUCAACAUUAUCACAGCAGUGAGAAGUAACACAUCUCAAAGAUGAAGAACAUAAAACACGUUAGAGCUCUAAAACCUUUCACCUGAAUGUUUACUAUUAAUGAUUUCAUAACAGAUCUAAUUAUUGAUUUCAGUGGGAUUUGUUUUUUUUUUUUAAGUUUUAAGCAAUUUUUACAAAAGUAAAAAUUAUUAUUUCAGCCUUUCAUGACGGGUUUCAUUUUAAAGUUCAGGGGCUUUAUUUUUAAAAGGGGCCUGAAAGACGAAAUGGUAAAUGGCCUGCAUUUGAUAAGCACCUUCUUAAGGCUCUGCAACCGCCCAAGGCACUUCACAACACAAUCAUUCAUCCACCCAGUCACACACUGGUGGAGAUGCGCUAUGAUGUAGCCACAGCUGCCCUGGGACACACUGACAGAGGCGAGGCUGCCGAACACUGGCGCCACCGGCCCCUCCGACACCACCAGCAGCCAGGGCAGGUUAAGCUCCCCAAAUUUUGUCUGUUGACACAUUUCCCAGAGUUAGAUAAGUGGAAAAAAAAUAAUUGUAACCAGCCCAGUGAUUCUCCUGACCCAUCUGUACUCCUUUAGCUUUUUUUUUUUGGGGGGGGGGGGUCGGGGG
Molecule: long non-coding RNA, 1794 nt
Organism: Nothobranchius furzeri (turquoise killifish)
Lineage: Eukaryota; Metazoa; Chordata; Actinopteri; Cyprinodontiformes; Nothobranchiidae
Source: Ensembl